ACGGAAGGCAGCAGUGGGGAAUAUUGGGCAAUGGGCGAAAGCCUGACCCAGCGACGCCGCGUGAGCGAAGAAGGUCUUCGGAUUGUAAAGCUCUGUUGACAGGGACGAAGAAGUGACGGUACCUGUCGAGGAAGCCACGGCUAACUACGUGCCAGCAGCCGCGGUAAUACGUAGGUUGCAAGCGUUGUCCGGAUUUACUGGGUGUAAAGGGCGUGUAGGCGGAGCUGCAAGUCAGAUGUGAAAUCCCGGGGCUCAACCCCGGAACUGCAUUUGAAACUGUAGCCCUUGAGUAUCGGAGAGGCAAGCGGAAUUCCUAGUGUAGCGGUGAAAUGCGUAGAUAUUAGGAGGAACACCAGUGGCGAAGGCGGCUUGCUGGACGACAACUGACGCUGAGGCGCGAAAGCGUGGGGAGCAAACAGGAUUAGAUACCCUGGUA
RNAcentral lists this ribosomal RNA (436 nucleotides) under uncultured Oscillospiraceae bacterium. RNAcentral's name for it is "bacterial SSU rRNA". It matches the Rfam family "Bacterial small subunit ribosomal RNA", at positions 341 to 792 of the family's 1533-position model. Lineage: Bacteria; Bacillati; Bacillota; Clostridia; Eubacteriales; Oscillospiraceae. The record is from RNAcentral.